GAUGAACGCUAGCUACAGGCUUAACACAUGCAAGUCGCGGGGCAGCAUGGGGGUUGCUUGCAAUCCCCGAUGGCGACCGGCGCACGGGUGAGUAACGCGUAUCCAACCUGCCCUUCACCACGGGAUAACCCGGCGAAAGUCGGACUAAUACCGUAUGUUGUCCAUUGACGGCAUCCGAUUUGGACGAAAGGCUUGGCGGUGAGGGAUGGGGAUGCGUCCGAUUAGCCAGACGGCGGGGUAACGGCCCACCGUGGCUACGAUCGGUAGGGGUUCUGAGAGGAAGGUCCCCCACACUGGAACUGCGACACGGUCCAGACUCCUACGGGAGGCAGCAGUGAGGAAUAUUGGUCAGCGGGCGUAAGCCUGAACCAGCCAAGUAGCGUGCAGGAUGACGGCCCUAUGGGUUGUAAACUGCUUUUAUGCGGGGAUAAAGUGGCCCACGUGUGGGCUUUUGCAGGUACCGCAUGAAUAAGGACCGGCUAAUUCCGUG
Molecule: ribosomal RNA, 490 nt
Filed under: uncultured bacterium
Lineage: Bacteria
Description: partial 16S ribosomal RNA
Rfam family: Bacterial small subunit ribosomal RNA
Source: RNAcentral